RNAcentral lists this ribosomal RNA (230 nucleotides) under uncultured bacterium. RNAcentral describes it as "partial 16S ribosomal RNA". It matches the Rfam family "Bacterial small subunit ribosomal RNA", at positions 57 to 305 of the family's 1533-position model. The record is from RNAcentral.
GCAAGUCGAACGAGAACUAGAGCUUGCUCUAGGGACAGUGGCAGACGGGUGAGUAACGCGUGGGAACAUACCUUUCAGUAGGGGACAACAGUUGGAAACGACUGCUAAUACCUUAUACGCCCUUUUGGGGAAAGAUUUAUCGCUGAAAGAUUGGCCCGCGUUGGAUUAGCUAGUUGGUAGGGUAAUGGCUUACCAAGGCAACGAUCUAUAGCUGGUCUGAGAGGAUGAUC